RNAcentral lists this ribosomal RNA (251 nucleotides) under uncultured bacterium. Its description in RNAcentral is "partial 16S ribosomal RNA". It matches the Rfam family "Bacterial small subunit ribosomal RNA", at positions 525 to 775 of the family's 1533-position model. The record is from RNAcentral.
ACGUAGGGGGCAAGCGUUAUCCGGAUUUACUGGGUGUAAAGGGUGCGUAGGUGGCAAGGCAAGUCAGAUGUGAAAGCCCGGGGCUCAACCCCGGUAUUGCAUUUGAAACUGUUUAGCUAGAGUGCAGGAGAGGUAAGUGGAAUUCCUAGUGUAGCGGUGAAAUGCGUAGAUAUUAGGAGGAACACCAGUGGCGAAGGCGGCUUACUGGACUGUAACUGACACUGAGGCACGAAAGCGUGGGGAGCAAACAG